This 2056-nucleotide long non-coding RNA is filed under the name Coffea arabica (coffee). RNAcentral's name for it is "long non-coding RNA (CARA_LNC006017)". The record is from RNAcentral. Lineage: Eukaryota; Viridiplantae; Streptophyta; Magnoliopsida; Gentianales; Rubiaceae.
AUCCCCUAUUUCAUCAUUAUUCUGUGAAAAUUUACCUCUAUUUGACUCCCUUAUCAUGCUUAUAGAGAUUUUAUCAACUUUCAUGGGAUUUCAUCGUCAACUUUGGAAAUUGAAUAAGGAAUCCUAGGAGUGCAAUUCGCCAAAUUGGAGCAAAUUACGAGUGCAACUCAAAGGGCAUUUGCCAUCAAUACUAUAUGGAGUAAGUUUUUCCUUAAAUUUAGUCAAGAAACAACCUUUUGCUACAUCUAAAUCGCAAGUUUCUCUUAGUGUGUGUUCUUGGUGUAGUGUGUGAACAUUUUUGGGAAAUUUUUGGACCGAAUUUUGUGUGACUUUUGUGGUUGAAUUGGUUUCAUCUGCGGUGUUGGUGCGUCUUUUCUUGUUGCUAAAUUAAUUCAGUAAAAAUCUAUUUUUGUUGGAUAUAGUUGUGGUGGUUGGGGUGUAGUUCGUCUCCCUUAUCCUUGUGCCAUUAAUGUUUUUGAAAUUGUGCUACUGCUAUUGUGGGUUAUUGGUGCUCUUUGGUUAGCUUUAACCUCGCAUGUAGGAGUUGGUAAUAGUGGUGUUCCUCCACGGUAUAUUGCCAAUUGGUGUCCUUGGACUUACAAGAUGCCUCCUAGAAUUAAAAAUGCUAGCAACACAAGAGCCUCACAUAAGCGAGUAAGAUCUACUAGAGAUGAGGGUAGUUUGCGUCAACCCUCAUUCGACACUAUUCACUUUUCUAAUGUGGAAAAUGAGUAAUGGUACUUAGAUAGGUUUAAUAAUACUGUGUUAGUAGAAAUUGAUAUGGAUGAUACUUUUGACACCUAAUAUCACUUCAGUGAAUUAUUUGCUACCGUGGGUUAGGAGAGAAUGCUAAAUCUGCCUGUUGAGUAUUACUUCGGGUUGUCAGUUUUAUGCUAAUAUGGAGUAUAAAACCUAGUUUAGUACUUUGAUUGUCGAUAGUUAUGUCAAAGGGUAACGAACAUCCUUUAAUUGCCAAUUUUUGACUGAUCUCUUAGGUGCUAGAAAUGACGGUCCACCUUUCGAACAUAGGAAGACAUCGAUUGUUUAUGAUUCAGAAUAGAUGUUUGAAACUUCUCUGCAUAAGUUUUGCUAUGGGUGGAGAUUUCGCGAGAGUGGUGGGUAGUGAAAGAUCGUUCCUAUGUGCCUAUGAGUUUCUUGAGUGCUUGAUGUAGUCUAUUGGUUUACUUGCUUAAUCAUAAUGUUAUGUUUGCGUCGAGUAGCAAGAAUGUGAUGCGAGUGGUGGACUGCUAUCUCAUCGACAAAUUGGAGAAUGGCUUAGGUGAGCUAGCAGGGAUACCCUUAGCCACUAUCGUUUUAGGCACCAUGACCAACACCACUCGUUAUAACCAUAAGGAUAAGGUAUUUUCAUAUGCUCGCUUACUAACUCUGGUUUUUCAACAUUUUGGUAUCGAUUUUCAGGGGGAAGCUAGGGAGGUAUAUCAUUUGAGCCACAAUUUGACUGUAUCUACUCUCAAUCACAUUGCCUAUGCUAAGGAUGCAGAUGGGCAUGAUAGCGAUGAGGAGGCGAAUCUCGAAGGCCAAGACAAAGCAAAUAUAGGAGCCGGAGAGAGGUCAUCGCAUCAAGCUCAAGCCUUGAGCAUUCAAUAUCUCCUUCACACGGUGCUAGCUAAGGUGUGGGGUACAAGGGAAGUGGUGGAGCGAUUGAAGGGUCGCGUGACCAGCAUUGACGAGGAGUUGGCCAGUUGGCGCCCAUAUAGACAGGGCCCCUCUUGAAUUUCCUUUUUCGUUUCCAUUUAGUAGCUCUUUGUUAGUAGUUCUUUUCGCUAGUGUUGGUGAUUGUCCAGCAGAUUUUUAGUGGUGUUUAACUCCUAUUUGUAGUGUUUCUUGGUGCGUUGGAGGGCUACUUUGUAGCAGCCUUUUUUCAUUGUAUCUCUUGGUUGUGCAUUGUUCGUGGAUUACUCUCUAUCACCCUCACAGGGAAGUUACACAUUCUUUUCCUUUGUUCUUUCCCUUCCUCGCAGUAUUAUUUCUUUGCUUUGUCCCCAACAUUGCGGACAAUGUUGUCUUAAGUAUGUGGGGGGGAACAAAUUGUUGU